Molecule: ribosomal RNA, 142 nt
Filed under: Escherichia coli
Lineage: Bacteria; Pseudomonadati; Pseudomonadota; Gammaproteobacteria; Enterobacterales; Enterobacteriaceae
Also listed under: 20 other names
Description: partial 16S ribosomal RNA
Rfam family: Bacterial small subunit ribosomal RNA
Source: RNAcentral
UUAAAUUGAAGAGUUUGAUCAUGGCUCAGAUUGAACGCUGGCGGCAGGCCUAACACAUGCAAGUCGAACGGUAACAGGAAGCAGCUUGCUGCUUUGCUGACGAGUGGCGGACGGGUGAGUAAUGUCUGGGAAACUGCCUGAU